Molecule: non-coding RNA, 29 nt
Filed under: Mus musculus (house mouse)
Lineage: Eukaryota; Metazoa; Chordata; Mammalia; Rodentia; Muridae
Source: RNAcentral
UGGGUACCUUGAAGAAGUGCUUGGCCAAG